Molecule: long non-coding RNA, 884 nt
Organism: Felis catus (domestic cat)
Lineage: Eukaryota; Metazoa; Chordata; Mammalia; Carnivora; Felidae
Exons: 3
Source: RefSeq, a predicted model, not a curated record
UGUAGGCUUAGCUUGGAAGGGGAAGGAGAGAGGACCCCUUCAUGAGGCAGGGGAGGGAUGAUGUCAGGACAGGGUUGCAGGCUUCCCCCCCACCCCACUGCCGGCUUGGCCUCCUUCACCUCUGCCCCAGCUGAACUCUCACUGGCAGCCAAGGUCUUUGUCUUGAUAAGAAGGAAUCGAAACUAUUGCACUUCCACUUACUGGAAUUCACAGCUUUCUAAAAAACACAGGAGGGUAUGGCCACUCCAGAACAAUGACUCUCCUGGGAGCCCUAAAGUAAAUACAGCCAGCAAGGAAGUUGGGGGGGGGGGGCAGGAAACAUCUAGCAUAGUGAUACUCAGACUUUGGUGAGCCUGGAAUCUCUCCCAGGGCCUGGGCUUGGGAAGUUUAGAGGAGCAGAGUCCCUCUUCCUCGACCGUGAACGCUCCCCAGGAAAGGAGCCAGUGUUUACCGACGCCAAAUUGCCAUCUGCCUGGCACGGGGCCAGGGAUUUUUACGUCUGUCAUCUCUGGCCAAGCUCCCGGCAGCCCUUGCUGUGCUGAAUAAUCGAUGAAGAAUCAGAGAAGCGCCCAGCACCGCACAUGACACGAACAGCCAAAGACAGCACUCGGCGCCAUCUUCCGGGCACAGGUGCUCAGCAAAUGUCUGACUUGGGACGUUCCUCGGCUUUUGCGGAGAGGAAACUCUGGAGUCAAAGCCGUUGGCUGAGUCCUGGACGAGCCACCUUCCAGCUGUGUCAUCUUGGGUGAGUAGUUUAACCUCUCAGGGCCUCAGUUUCCUCGGCUGAAACACCACAAUUCCCGCCUCGUGGUGGUGUUGUCAGGGCUAGAUUAAGGGAAGAGGAUAUAUGAAGAGUACCUCCCUGGCUCAGAGGCCUCACGAAU